AAUCUGCCCUUCACUCUGGGACAAGCCCUGGAAACGGGGUCUAAUACCGGAUAACACUCUGUCCCGCAUGGGACGGGGUUAAAAGCUCCGGCGGUGAAGGAUGAGCCCGCGGCCUAUCAGCUUGUUGGUGGGGUAAUGGCCUACCAAGGCGACGACGGGUAGCCGGCCUGAGAGGGCGACCGGCCACACUGGGACUGAGACACGGCCCAGACUCCUACGGGAGGCAGCAGUGGGGAAUAUUGCACAAUGGGCGAAAGCCUGAUGCAGCGACGCCGCGUGAGGGAUGACGGCCUUCGGGUUGUAAACCUCUUUCAGCAGGGAAGAAGCGAAAGUGACGGUACCUGCAGAAGAAGCGCCGGCUAACUACGUGCCAGCAGCCGCGGUAAUACGUAGGGCGCAAGCGUUGUCCGGAAUUAUUGGGCGUAAAGAGCUCGUAGGCGGCUUGUCACGUCGGAUGUGAAAGCCCGGGGCUUAACCCCGGGUCUGCAUUCGAUACGGGCUAGCUAGAGUGUGGUAGGGGAGAUCGGAAUUCCUGGUGUAGCGGUGAAAUGCGCAGAUAUCAGGAGGAACACCGGUGGCGAAGGCGGAUCUCUGGGCCAUUACUGACGCUGAGGAGCGAAAGCGUGGGGAGCGAACAGGAUUAGAUACCCUGGUAGUCCACGCCGUAAACGUUGGGAACUAGGUGUUGGCGA
Molecule: ribosomal RNA, 692 nt
Filed under: Streptomyces sp. DBT210
Lineage: Bacteria; Bacillati; Actinomycetota; Actinomycetes; Kitasatosporales; Streptomycetaceae
Description: bacterial SSU rRNA
Rfam family: Bacterial small subunit ribosomal RNA
Source: RNAcentral